CAGCAGCCGCGGUAACACGUAGGAUCCGAGCGUUAUCCGGAUUUACUGGGCGUAAAGCGCGUGCAGGUGGUCUGUUAAGUUGGAUGUUAAAUCUCACGGCUUAACCGGGAGAUGUCGUUCAAAACUGGCAGACUAGAGGACGGUAGAGGAAGGUGGAAUUCCGGGUGUAGUGGUGAAAUGCGUAGAUAUCCGGAGGAACAUCAGUGGCGAAGGCGACCUUCUGGACCGCUCCUGACACUCCAACGCGAAAGCUAGGGGAGCAAACGGG
RNAcentral lists this ribosomal RNA (268 nucleotides) under uncultured prokaryote. RNAcentral's name for it is "partial 16S ribosomal RNA". It matches the Rfam family "Bacterial small subunit ribosomal RNA", at positions 509 to 776 of the family's 1533-position model. The record is from RNAcentral.